This 459-nucleotide ribosomal RNA is filed under the name uncultured bacterium. RNAcentral's name for it is "partial 16S ribosomal RNA". It matches the Rfam family "Bacterial small subunit ribosomal RNA", at positions 338 to 795 of the family's 1533-position model. The record is from RNAcentral.
CCUACGGGAGGCAGCAGUGAGGAAUAUUGGUCAAUGGGCGCGAGCCUGAACCAGCCAAGUAGCGUGAAGGAUGACUGCCCUACGGGUUGUACACUUCUUUUAUAAAGGAAUAAAGUGAGGCACGUGUGCCUUUUUGUAUGUACUUUAUGAAUAAGGAUCGGCUAACUCCGUGCCAGCAGCCGCGGUAAUACGGAGGAUGCGAGCGUUAUCCGGAUUUAUUGGGUUUAAAGGGUGCGUAGGCGGAUCGUUAAGUCAGUGGUCAAAUUGAGGGGCUCAACCCCUUCCCGCCAGUGAAACUGGCGUUCUUGAGUGGAAGAGAAGUAUGCGGAAUGCGUGGUGUAGCGGUGAAAUGCAUAGAUAUCACGCAGAACCCCGAUUGCGAAGGCAGCAUGCCGGCUUCCGACUGACGCUGAAGCACGAAAGCGUGGGGAUUGAACAGGAUUAGAUACCCCUGUAGUC